AGGAAGUAACCAAGGACAAAGUCAGGGUUGUUAUGGAUUGAAAGGUGUUCCACCUAAAUUCAUAUGUUGAAGUCAUAAUCCCCAGUACCUCAGAAUGUGACCUUACUUGGAAAUAGGGUCAUUGGCAGAUGUAAUUAGUUAAGUUACAACAAGGUCACACUAGAAUAACGUGGACCCUUAAUCCAGUGUGACUACUGUCUUAUAACAAUGAGACAUGGGGACACACACAUGCACAUGGGAAGAACAUCUUGUGAACAUGAAGGCAGACAUUGGAGUGAUGCAUCUGAAAGCCACAGAAUGCCAAAGAUCGCCAGCAAGCCACCAGAAGCCAGGCGAGAGGAUGGAACAUACUCUCCCUCACAGCCCUCGCAGAAGGACCCAAUCCUGCCAACACCUUGAUCUUGGAUUUAGAGCCUCUAAGAACUACUUUCAGGUCCCAGCCAGACCAGGUCCCAGGACAGCUAUGGAUGAACUCCAACCCCACUUCCAGAUAGGAGCAUACAGACAAGUUCCCCACUACCCUCCACUGGGAAGAUGUCAAAACUUGGAAGUCCUCACCCAGCAGUCUCCUCUUUCUCAUCAUGGAGUCGUUUAAGGAUGUCCAAUAAAGAGAUAAACUGAACACAGAAAUUGCAACGUACGUGGCCUUCAGGUUGAAUCAGACCCCAAAACACAGUAUAUUUUGCUUGGCAAGCUCAAAAUUUUAAAUUUGGAAGACUUCAUAUAAAAAUACAGAUUUCUAGCGUCACAAGAUGCAGUCAUCAAAUUUCAGAUUGUGGGUAACUCUAGAAGUCAAAUGAUUUCUUCCACAAAAUUUUUGUAGUAAUAGCAAGGAUAAAAGAGAGGGACGAAACCUGUAAUAAAAUAAAACUUAAAAGAACAUUCAUACAAUGGA
Felis catus (domestic cat) is the source of this 895-nucleotide long non-coding RNA. RefSeq lists it as uncharacterized. The transcript is spliced from 4 exons. The record is from RefSeq and is a predicted model, not a curated record. NCBI's taxonomy places the organism in Eukaryota, Metazoa, Chordata, Mammalia, Carnivora, Felidae.